RNAcentral lists this unclassified non-coding RNA (396 nucleotides) under Hevea brasiliensis (rubber tree). The record is from RNAcentral. Lineage: Eukaryota; Viridiplantae; Streptophyta; Magnoliopsida; Malpighiales; Euphorbiaceae.
UAACACGGUCAAAAUUUUUUCUCCUUUCAAAAAUGCCGAGAGAGAAGAGUCCUGGUCUCAAGAUCCUCUGGCUUUGGACCAUUGGCACUGCCGCCAUUCUCGUGACGAGUGUGGUAAGGACAAGGCUAAGAGACAUGGAGCAGCUAAUGAGCGCGGAACAGCAGCAACAGCAGACACAAAGUACUCUCGGCGAUUCAAUUAUAGUAGACUCCUCGCCGGAGCCCCAAGAGGGAACAAUUCGAGAAGUGAAAUAGUAGAUUUUUGUUUCAAAUUUAAUUUCCCAUUUUUGUAUUUUCACUCUUCUUGCGAAUUUCCUGAAAGUUGCAAGCGUGCUUGUUGUCUUAAGUCCUAAUAACAAAUAGAACGCAACGCAUUAUAUGUGUCUAUUACCUGUUU